AGUGGGGAAUAUUGGACAAUGGGCGCAAGCCUGAUCCAGCAAUGCCGCGUGUGUGAAGAAGGCCUGAGGGUUGUAAAGCACUUUUAUUUGGGAAGAAAAGCUCGGGGCUAAUAUCUUCGAGUAUUGACGGUACCAUCUGAAUAAGCACCGGCUAACUCCGUGCCAGCAGCCGCGGUAAUACGGAGGGUGCAAGCGUUAAUCGGAAUUACUGGGCGUAAAGCGUGUGUAGGUGGUUCGUUAAGUCGGAUGUGAAAGCCCCGGGCUCAACCUGGGAACUGCAUUCGAUACUGACGGACUAGAGUUUAGCAGAGGAAAGCGGAAUUCCGGGUGUAGCGGUGAAAUGCGUAGAUAUCCGGAGGAACACCAGUGGCGAAGGCGGCUUUCUGGGUUAAAACUGACACUGAGGCACGAAAGCGUGGGUAGCAAACAGGAUUAGAUACCCUGGUAGUCCACGCCGUAAACGAUGGAUACUAGCUGUUCGUGUCGCGCGAGCGAUGUGAGUGGCUAAGCGAAAGUGAUAAGUAUCCCACCUGGGGAGUACGGCCGCAAGGCUG
RNAcentral lists this ribosomal RNA (554 nucleotides) under uncultured bacterium. RNAcentral's name for it is "bacterial SSU rRNA". It matches the Rfam family "Bacterial small subunit ribosomal RNA", at positions 353 to 896 of the family's 1533-position model. The record is from RNAcentral.